GACGAACGCUGGCGGCGUGCUUAACACAUGCAAGUCGAACGGAAAGGCCCUGCUUUUGUGGGGUGCUCGAGUGGCGAACGGGUGAGUAACACGUGAGUAACCUGCCCUUGACUUUGGGAUAACUUCAGGAAACUGGGGCUAAUACCGGAUAGGAGCUCCUGCUGCAUGGUGGGGGUUGGAAAGUUUCGGCGGGUGGGGAUGGACUCGCGGCUUAUCAGCUUGUUGGUGGGGUAGUGGCUUACCAAGGCUUUGACGGGUAGCCGGCCUGAGAGGGUGACCGGCCACAUUGGGACUGAGAUAAGGCCCGGACUCCUACGGGAGGCAGCAGUGGGGAAUAUUGCACAAUGGGCGGAAGCCUGAUGCAGCAACGCCGCGUGCGGGAUGACGGCCUUCGGGUUGUAAACCGCUUUCGCCUGUGACGAAGCGUGAGUGACGGUAAUGGGUAAAGAAGCACCGGCUAACUACGUG
RNAcentral lists this ribosomal RNA (468 nucleotides) under uncultured bacterium. RNAcentral describes it as "partial 16S ribosomal RNA". It matches the Rfam family "Bacterial small subunit ribosomal RNA", at positions 28 to 507 of the family's 1533-position model. The record is from RNAcentral.